This 50-nucleotide ribosomal RNA is filed under the name Alder yellows phytoplasma. RNAcentral's name for it is "partial 23S ribosomal RNA". The record is from RNAcentral. Lineage: Bacteria; Bacillati; Mycoplasmatota; Mollicutes; Acholeplasmatales; Acholeplasmataceae.
AUUCAAGUUAAUUUGAAGAAAGUAAGGGCGUACAGUGAAUGCCUUGGCAC